Molecule: ribosomal RNA, 390 nt
Filed under: uncultured bacterium
Lineage: Bacteria
Description: bacterial SSU rRNA
Rfam family: Bacterial small subunit ribosomal RNA
Source: RNAcentral
CGGCCGCGUCGACCGGCGUGACGGUCUGCUUAACGACAGUGCAAGUCGAACGGAGUAGAAAUACUUAGUGGCGGACGGGUGAGUAACGCGUGAGAAUCUGCCUUCAGGACGGAGACAACAGUUGGAAACGACUGCUAAGCCCCGAUAAACCGAAAGGGAAAAUAUUUAUAGCCUGAAGAUGAGCUCGCGUCCGAUUAGCUAGUUGGUGGGGUAAAAGCUCACCAAGGCGACGAUCAGUAGCUGGUCUGAGAGGAUGAUCAGCCACACUGGGACUGAGACACGGCCCAGACUCCUACGGGAGGCAGCAGUGGGGAAUUUUCCGCAAUGGGCGAAAGCCUGACGGAGCAAGACCGCGUGGGGGAAGAAGGCCGCCAGCGGUCGACGCGGCCG